Molecule: ribosomal RNA, 1244 nt
Filed under: metagenome
Description: bacterial LSU rRNA
Rfam family: Bacterial large subunit ribosomal RNA
Source: RNAcentral
UGAGUACGAGAUGCUACGGCAUCGAAGCAGUCUAUGUCAUACUUCCAAGAAAAGCUUGCACUGUCAGAAACAGAUAAUGCCUGUACCAUAACCGACACAGGUGGGUAGGUAGAGUAUACUAAGGGGCGCGAGAUAACUCUCUCUAAGGAACUCGGCAAAAUAACUCCGUAACUUCGGGAGAAGGAGUGCCUUAUUUUUAAGGUUGCAAUAACAAGAUCCAAGCAACUGUUUACCAAAAACACAGGUCUCCGCUAAGUCGUAAGACGAUGUAUGGGGGCUGACGCCUGCCCAGUGCCAGAAGGUUAAAGAAGUCGGUUAGCAUUCGCGAAGCUGGUAACUGAAGCCCUGGUGAACGGCGGCCGUAACUAUAACGGUCUUAAGGUAGCGAAAUUCCUUGUCGGGUAAGUUCCGACCCGCACGAAAGGCGUAAUGAUUUGGAUACUGUCUCGGAGAGGGGCUCGGUGAAAUAGACUUGUCUGUGAAGAUGCGGACUACCUGCACCUGGACAGAAAGACCCUAUGAAGCUUUACUGUAACUUGAAAUUGAAAUUGGACUUUAUUUGCGCAGUAUAGGUGGGAGGCGUUGAAAAUAUUCUUGCGGGAAUAUUGGAGCCAUCAGUGAGAUACCACUCUUGUAAUGUUAGAUUUCUAACUUUAUAUCAUUAUCUGGUUAAAGAACAGUUUCAGGCGGGCAGUUUGACUGGGGCGGUCGCCUCCCAAAUGGUAACGGAGGCGCACAAAGGUUUCCUCUGAACGGGUAGAAAUCGUAUCUAGAGUGUAAAGGCAUAAGGAAGCUUGACUGUGAGACCUACAAGUCGAGCAGGGACGAAAGUCGGUCUUAGUGAUCUGACGGUGCUGAGUGGAAAGGCCGUCACUCAACGGAUAAAAGUUACUCUAGGAUAACAGGCUGAUCUCCCCCAAGAGUUCACAUCGACGGGGAGGUUUGGCACCCCGAUGUCGGCUCAUCGCAUCCUGGGGCGGUAGUACGUCCCAAGGGUUGGGCUGUUCGCCCAUGAAAGCGGUACGCGAGCUGGGUUCAGAACGUCGUGAGACAGUUCGGUCCAUAUCCGGUGUAGGCGUUAGAAUAUUGAGAGGAGCCUUCUUUAGUACGAGAGGACCGAGAAGGACAUACCUCUGGUGUACCAGUUAUCGUGCCAACGGUAAACGCUGGGUAGCUAUGUAUGGAGUGGAUAACCGCUGAAAGCAUCUAAGUGGGAAGCCCACCUCAAGAUAAGUAUUCUCACC